Hanseniaspora uvarum DSM 2768 is the source of this 84-nucleotide non-coding RNA. The record is from Rfam. Lineage: Eukaryota; Fungi; Ascomycota; Saccharomycetes; Saccharomycodales; Saccharomycodaceae.
UGAAAUGAUGAUUUAAAUAUAAAAAUAUUCAAACUAGAGUUUCUGAAUUAUUAGUGAUUAGAAACUAUAUUACUUAAUCUGAUA